AUUGAACGCUGGCGGCAGGCCUAACACAUGCAAGUCGAACGGUAACAGGGAGCAGCUUGCUGCUUCGCUGACGAGUGGCGGACGGGUGAGUAAUGUCUGGGAAGCUGCCUGAUGGAGGGGGAUAACUACUGGAAACGGUAGCUAAUACCGCAUAAUGUCGCAAGACCAAAGAGGGGGACCUUCGGGCCUCUUGCCAUCGGAUGUGCCCAGAUGGGAUUAGCUUGUUGGUGGGGUAACGGCUCACCAAGGCGACGAUCCCUAGCUGGUCUGAGAGGAUGACCAGCCACACUGGGACUGAGGCACGGUCCAGACUCCUACGGGAGGCAGCAGUGGGGAAUAUUGCACAAUGGGCGCAAGCCUGAUGCAGCCAUGCCGCGUGUAUGAAGAAGGCCUUCGAGUUGUAAAGUACUUUCAGCGGGGAGGAAGGGAGUAAAGUUAAUACCUUUGCUCAUUGACGUUACCCGCAGAAGAAGCACCGGCUAACUCCGUG
RNAcentral lists this ribosomal RNA (490 nucleotides) under uncultured bacterium. RNAcentral describes it as "partial 16S ribosomal RNA". It matches the Rfam family "Bacterial small subunit ribosomal RNA", at positions 30 to 507 of the family's 1533-position model. The record is from RNAcentral.